UAGGGUUUCAUAGUGGCAACACCGAAUUCCCAGUUCUCAUGAAAGUUCGUCUGCAGCAAAAAUCCAGUCUCCCUGUCAGUGAUUGGCUCAUCCCUUUUUUUGUUUUGAUUUUUGAAUUCUGGGCUCAUUUCACUAGUUAAAUUGACGUUUAUCGUGCUGAUAAAAAUGGUGGUGAAGUGCUUUGUGGCGUGUUGCUCUGCCGGGUAUGCCUCAAAUAAGGUGAAAGUAACAAAAUUUCGUGCUCCAAAAGACGAAAAACAAUUCAUUCUCUGGCAGAAAGCUAUUCCCAGAACCGAUAGAAAGUUGACAAAAAAGGACUAUGUGUGCGCAAACCACUUUGAAGAGAAAUAUUUAACGAAAGUAAAAACCAUUCUUGAUCAAGAAUUUCCUCUGAAGAUUUGAAGUUGGCAGCUGAAGCCAUUCCUACUCUAAAUCUAUGGAGUGACACAGAUAAAGUGAAAAAGAAAAAAAAGGAGGGUAAACAGGAUAGUGAUGCUGACCAGCGGCAGAAUGAGCUUGACUUGCCCAACACUCCUCAGCCGAUUCAGUUGACUGACAGUCAUGAAACACUUGAAUUUCCCAGCACAACUGAUAAGUUAGCAGCAGAUGUUGAGAUGGUGGAUCCUCUAGAAAUUGUUGAUCAACCCAUCAAAGAAGCAGUCAACAACAUUAUCUCUCAUCCCACACAAUUGAAGCUUCCUAAGGCAUGGCAAUGGUGUUCUGUUAAUGAAGAUCUCCAAGAGGACAAUCCCAUAGCUUACAGCAGGAUAACUGCUGUUAGAUUUGGCGUUGUUAACGAAUUCACAAUUCCCAUUAAAAUGAUUACAGUUGUUGGAUAGGUGAAGUGUUUUACACCGUCAAGGGUGUUUUAAUCACACCACCUCAUUUCUUGCCAAAAUCCUUCAGCACAGUAGAGGAACUCAAUGAUCUCUUGUCUCGCUUCGACUCGGCAAACAUUUGUAGUGGUUGCAAACUGGUUGGGAAGGGAGUGCUAACACCCAACCUGAAAAAAACAACAGUCAAGCAGCUUGGUGAACGAAGAUCGAAAUUCUGCAUUCGGCUUAUCCAAAAAGGGUUCACUUGCUACAGAUGCGAACACCUGACUAAUUUAGUGGCUGGAAAGUCACCGAAGCCAACUAAUAUGGAGCGACUUCUUGAACAAAUCAAGAAUUCAACUUACAAAAAUCGUCUGUUAACAAAACAGAACGUAAAGGAAUGCUGAUCAAGGAACUAAGACAAGAAAUCAAAAGUUUAAAAAAAGACCGAGACGUUGUAAAUGCGUGUGUGAGCCCUUCAACAUAAAUGAUUCUGCCUUACCCUUAAUCAUAA
Daphnia pulicaria is the source of this 1329-nucleotide long non-coding RNA. RefSeq lists it as uncharacterized. NCBI's taxonomy places the organism in Eukaryota, Metazoa, Arthropoda, Branchiopoda, Diplostraca, Daphniidae. The record is from RefSeq and is a predicted model, not a curated record. The transcript is spliced from 3 exons.